GAUGAACGCUGGCGGCGUGCCUAAUACAUGCAAGUCGAGCGAACAGAUGAGGAGCUUGCUCCUCUGACGUUAGCGGCGGACGGGUGAGUAACACGUGGAUAACCUACCUAUAAGACUGGGAUAACUUCGGGAAACCGGAGCUAAUACCGGAUAAUAUAUUGAACCGCAUGGUUCAAUAGUGAAAGACGGUUUUGCUGUCACUUAUAGAUGGAUCCGCGCCGCAUUAGCUAGUUGGUAAGGUAACGGCUUACCAAGGCAACGAUGCGUAGCCGACCUGAGAGGGGGAUCGGCAACACUGGAACGGAGAAACGGUCCAGCCUCCUACGGGAGGCAGCAGUAGGAAUCUUCCGCAAUGGGCGAAAGCCUGACGGAGCAACGCCGCGUGAGUGAUGAAGGUCUUCGGAUCGUAAAACUCUGUUAUUAGGGAAGAACAAAUGUGUAAGUAACUAUGCACGUCUUGACGGUACCUAAUCAGAAAGCCACGGCUAACUACGUG
This 496-nucleotide ribosomal RNA is filed under the name uncultured bacterium. RNAcentral describes it as "partial 16S ribosomal RNA". It matches the Rfam family "Bacterial small subunit ribosomal RNA", at positions 28 to 507 of the family's 1533-position model. The record is from RNAcentral.